Molecule: ribosomal RNA, 253 nt
Filed under: uncultured bacterium
Lineage: Bacteria
Description: partial 16S ribosomal RNA
Rfam family: Bacterial small subunit ribosomal RNA
Source: RNAcentral
UACGUAGGGUGCGAGCGUUAAUCGGAAUUACUGGGCGUAAAGCGUGCGCAGGCGGCUUUUUAAGUCCGAUGUGAAAUCCCCGGGCUUAACCUGGGAAUGGCAUUUGGGACUGCAAGGCUGGAGUGUGGCAGAGGAGACUGGAAUUCCUGGUGUAGCAGUGAAAUGCGUAGAUAUCAGGAGGAAUACCGAUGGCGAAGGCAGGUCUCUGGGCUGACACUGACGCUCAUGCACGAAAGCGUGGGGAGCAAACAGG